Molecule: long non-coding RNA, 298 nt
Filed under: Nicotiana benthamiana
Lineage: Eukaryota; Viridiplantae; Streptophyta; Magnoliopsida; Solanales; Solanaceae
Description: long non-coding RNA (NBEN_LNC023787)
Source: RNAcentral
AAUAAACUUGAAGUUCGUUUAGAUGGGAAAUAUCAUCUAAAUUCUCACCUUGAGUACCCCUGAACUCCGUCCACAAUUUAAGAGCUGUUAAGCCACCAACUCUUUUAGACGCUUGUGAUAUGGACGAAGUAGGGGUUGGAAUAAUAGGCGUAGCAUGCUCUAACGCCUGUUUAUAAGCAUUAUAAACAGUUUGACCAUUCACUGUAAUUGAUGCUUUCGCAUCAGAUAGUGUAGCCAUUUCUUCUGGUGAAAGAUCUAAAGAUUGAUAAAUACUAUUAUACCAAAAGUUAGGACNNNN